Molecule: long non-coding RNA, 518 nt
Organism: Dreissena polymorpha
Lineage: Eukaryota; Metazoa; Mollusca; Bivalvia; Myida; Dreissenidae
Exons: 2
Source: RefSeq, a predicted model, not a curated record
GUCACGACCGCGGAGGGCGACUGUUUUGAGGAAGUUCCGUACAUUGGCGUCGUACCUGACAACCUGAAGAGGUUCUGCAGUGGGAUGACGAUCAUGAAGCAUGUCCGGGUAAACUGCACAGUAGAACAGGCCGGGCGGAAAAAAAGACACGUAGGCCAAGCAAAGAUCUGGCCCAAAUGGAGUUGGUGUUGCUGUUGGAUACCCAUCGCAUAGUGGCCCUGUAGUCAAUCCGUAUGCUUUCAGUACAACACAUUCGGACAAUGUGUGUCCUGGGGUUGCGUAAAAUGGUGCUGGAGCUGGCACUGGAUUCAGCUAUGCUUAUGGGGCUAAUCUUGGCCAUGGUAUUUUGGCUAAUGACGAUGCCAAAUGAGACAAUGUUGCGCUAGAAUGCUUCCAUUUUUGUUUUCCUUUCGUCCUUGUUUUCUUUAGCGCACAUAUGCAAUCAGUAAAAAAAGAUAAAGAAGUUUAAGCAAUACUACGUUCACAUGUCUGUGUUCUUUGAAUAAAAUUUAACAACA